GGAGGAGAAUGAUAGAUGCUUCCUUGCUUCUUAUGUUCUGAAUAACAGUUCCCAUUAGCAGAACAAUGGGAAAGAGGGAUGGGGGGUGUCCAAGAAACCAAUUCUGCCAUUUAUGACACAGAGUGUCCGUUUCCUUUGAUCUUUGUCUGGUUUCCCUGGUGAAGAAGGGCCUUGUCUUUGCAUUUUCAUUGGAUGUGACUAGAUCCAUCUGGGGCUGACCAAGAUCCGUUGAUAUCAACUGGGAAAUAUCUUGAUUCAGGAAUAAUUCUGAGUUGUCUUUCUCCUGUCGUGUAGAAAGCUAAUGCUCUGAGAACAUCCAAUGUGUGGAGUGAGGCCUCCCUCCCAUCCGCAUGUGGCUUAGGAAAAAAUACAGAACAGGCCUUCUCGACCCCAGUCAGCCAUGGAGUAACCAGGCCUUGAGGUGGACUACUGCGAGGUUGGGGUAACAGGCGCGUCCUGCAUCUUGUGAUAGAAGGAGGCCGAGAUCUGCACAUGUGGACAGGAGCAGUUCCACAUGGGCCUGUACCUGGAACCAAGAGUUGCCCUUGAGAAGCCAAUUGUCCAGGUAUGGGAAGAUCUGCACACCUUCCCGUCGGAGGUAGGCCGCCACCACCACCAUACAUUUGGCAAACACCUUCGGCACUGUGGACAGCCCAAACGGGAGGACCGUAAACUGGUAGUGGUCCAACCCCACCAGGAAUCGGAGGAAACAUCUGUGCUCCUCAAAUAUAUGGAUGUGGAAAAACGCGUCCUGGAGGUCCAGGGCUGCAUACCAAUCCCCCGGGUCCAGAGUGGGAAUAAUAGAGGCUAGGGACACCAUGUGGAACUUGGAGCAGUCCAGAAACCUUUUGAGGGCCUGCAGGUCCAGGAUGGGCCUGAGACUGCCCUUCGCCUUGGGGAUCAGAAAAUAUCUGGAGUAGAAGCCUCUGCCCUGGAGUUCUACUGGUACUCUUUCGACUGCCCCCAGGUGCAUCAG
This is a long non-coding RNA of Mauremys mutica (yellowpond turtle), 976 nucleotides long. RefSeq lists it as uncharacterized. Lineage: Eukaryota; Metazoa; Chordata; Testudines; Geoemydidae. The record is from RefSeq and is a predicted model, not a curated record. The transcript is spliced from 4 exons.